UUGGCGGGGUAACGGCCCACCAAGCCGACGAUCGGUAGCCGGACUGAGAGGUUGAACGGCCACAUUGGGACUGAGACACGGCCCAGACUCCUACGGGAGGCAGCAGUGAGGGAUAUUGGUCAAUGGGGGAAACCCUGAACCAGCAACGCCGCGUGAGGGAAGACGGUUUUCGGAUUGUAAACCUCUGUCCUCUGUGAAGAUGAUGACGGUAGCAGAGGAGGAAGCUCCGGCUAACUACGUGCCAGCAGCCGCGGUAAUACGUAGGGAGCAAGCGUUGUCCGGAUUUACUGGGUGUAAAGGGUGCGUAGGCGGCUUUGCAAGUCAGAAGUGAAAUCCAUGGGCUUAACCCAUGAACUGCUUUUGAAACUGCAGAGCUUGAGUGGAGUAGAGGUAGGCGGAAUUCCCGGUGUAGCGGUGAAAUGCGUAGAGAUCGGGAGGAACACCAGUGGCGAAGGCGGCCUGCUGGGCUCUAACUGACGCUGAGGCACGAAAGCGUGGGUAGCAAACAGGAUUAGAUACCCUGGUAGUCCACGCUGUAAACG
This 542-nucleotide ribosomal RNA is filed under the name uncultured bacterium. RNAcentral describes it as "bacterial SSU rRNA". It matches the Rfam family "Bacterial small subunit ribosomal RNA", at positions 249 to 808 of the family's 1533-position model. The record is from RNAcentral.